RNAcentral lists this ribosomal RNA (273 nucleotides) under Cladosporium sp. lz14. Its description in RNAcentral is "partial 18S ribosomal RNA". The stretch from base 1 to 68 matches the Rfam family "Eukaryotic small subunit ribosomal RNA", at positions 1764 to 1831 of the family's 1831-position model. The record is from RNAcentral. Lineage: Eukaryota; Fungi; Ascomycota; Dothideomycetes; Cladosporiales; Cladosporiaceae.
CUUGGUCAUUUAGAGGAAGUAACGGUCGUAACAAGGUCUCCGUAGGUGAACCUGCGGAGGGAUCAUUACAAGUGACCCCGGUCUAACCACCGGGAUGUUCAUAACCCUUUGUUGUCCGACUCUGUUGCCUCCGGGGCGACCCUGCCUUCGGGCGGGGGCUCCGGGUGGACACUUCAAACUCUUGCGUAACUUUGCAGUCUGAGUAAACUUAAUUAAUAAAUUAAAACUUUUAACAACGGAUCUCUUGGUUCUGGCAUCGAUGAAGAACGCAGC